Molecule: ribosomal RNA, 496 nt
Filed under: uncultured bacterium
Lineage: Bacteria
Description: partial 16S ribosomal RNA
Rfam family: Bacterial small subunit ribosomal RNA
Source: RNAcentral
AUGAACGCUGGCGGUGUGCCUCAUACAUGCAAGUCGAGCGAACGGACGAGAAGCUUGCUUCUCUGAUGUUAGCGGCGGACGGGUGAGUAACACGUGGAUAACCUACCUAUAAGACUGGGAUAACUUCGGGAAACCGGAGCUAAUACCGGAUAAUAUUUUGAACCGCAUGGUUCAAAAGUGAAAGACGGUCUUGCUGUCACUUAUAGAUGGAUCCGCGCUGCAUUAGCUAGUUGGUAAGGUAACGGCUUACCAAGGCAACGAUGCAUAGCCGACCUGAGAGGGUGAUCGGCCACACUGGAACUGAGACACGGUCCAGACUCCUACGGGAGGCAGCAGUAGGGAAUCUUCCGCAAUGGGCGAAAGCCUGACGGAGCAACGCCGCGUGAGUGAUGAAGGUCUUCGGAUCGUAAAACUCUGUUAUUAGGGAAGAACAUAUGUGUAAGUAACUGUGCACAUCUUGACGGUACCUAAUCAGAAAGCCACGGCUAACUACGUG